UGCCAGCCGCCGCGGUAAUACGGAGGCCCCAAGCGUUGUUCGGAUUUACUGGGCGUAAAGCGCACGUAGGCGGACAUUUAAGUCAGAGGUGAAAUCCCAGGGCUCAACCCUGGAACUGCCUUUGAUACUGGGUGUCUUGAGUUCGAGAGAGGUGAGUGGAAUUCCGAGUGUAGAGGUGAAAUUCGUAGAUAUUCGGAGGAACACCAGUGGCGAAGGCGGCUCACUGGCUCGAUACUGACGCUGAGGUGCGAAAGCGUGGGGAGCAAACAGGAUUAGAUA
RNAcentral lists this ribosomal RNA (279 nucleotides) under uncultured bacterium. RNAcentral's name for it is "partial 16S ribosomal RNA". It matches the Rfam family "Bacterial small subunit ribosomal RNA", at positions 506 to 784 of the family's 1533-position model. The record is from RNAcentral.